GUGAACGCUGGCGGUGCGCCUAAAACAUGCAAGUCGAGUGGGUUAGACCCACGGCGAACGGCUGAGUAACACGUUGGUACCUACCCCAAACUCAGGGAUAACCCGCCGAAAGGCGGAGUAAUACCGGAUGAUCCCGCAAGGGUAAAGAUUUAUCGGUUUGGGAAGGGCCUGCGGCCUAUCAGAUAGUUGGUGAGGUAACGGCUCACCAAGUCUAUGACGGGUAGCUGGUUUGAGAGAACGACCAGCCAGAAUGGAACUGAGACACGGUCCAUACUCCUACGGGAGGCAGCAGUUAGGAAUCUUCCGCAAUGGGCGAAAGCCUGACGGAGCGACACCGCGUGAAGGAUGAAGGUCUUUUGAUCGUAAACUUCUGUUCUGAGGGACGAAAUUUUUGACGGUACCUCAGGAGAAAGCACCGGCUAAUUCUGU
RNAcentral lists this ribosomal RNA (429 nucleotides) under uncultured bacterium. RNAcentral's name for it is "bacterial SSU rRNA". It matches the Rfam family "Bacterial small subunit ribosomal RNA", at positions 29 to 506 of the family's 1533-position model. The record is from RNAcentral.